This 72-nucleotide transfer RNA is filed under the name Candidatus Magasanikiibacteriota bacterium. Its description in RNAcentral is "tRNA-Arg". It matches the Rfam family "tRNA". Rfam says of the family: Transfer RNA (tRNA) molecules are approximately 80 nucleotides in length. Their secondary structure includes four short double-helical elements and three loops (D, anti-codon, and T loops). The record is from RNAcentral. Lineage: Bacteria; Candidatus Magasanikiibacteriota.
GCCCCCGUCGUCUAAUGGAUAUGACACUGGCCUCCGAAGCCGGAAAUCCAGGUUCGACUCCUGGCGGGAGCA